RNAcentral lists this ribosomal RNA (1988 nucleotides) under Listeria monocytogenes. RNAcentral's name for it is "partial 23S ribosomal RNA". It matches the Rfam family "Bacterial large subunit ribosomal RNA", at positions 408 to 2394 of the family's 2925-position model. Lineage: Bacteria; Bacillati; Bacillota; Bacilli; Caryophanales; Listeriaceae. The record is from RNAcentral.
CUGAGUACGGCGGAACACGUGAAAUUCCGUCGGAAUCCGGGAGGACCAUCUCCCAAGGCUAAAUACUCCCUAGUGACCGAUAGUGAACCAGUACCGUGAGGGAAAGGUGAAAAGCACCCCGGAAGGGGAGUGAAACAGUUCCUGAAACCGUGUGCCUACAAGUAGUUAGAGCCCGUUAAUGGGUGAUAGCGUGCCUUUUGUAGAAUGAACCGGCGAGUUACGAUUUGUUGCAAGGUUAAGCGGAAAAAGCGGAGCCGUAGCGAAAGCGAGUCUGAAUAGGGCGCAUAAGUAACAGGUCGUAGACCCGAAACCAGGUGAUCUACCCAUGUCCAGGAUGAAGGUAAGGUAAUACUUACUGGAGGUCCGAACCCACGCACGUUGAAAAGUGCGGGGAUGAGGUGUGGGUAGCGGAGAAAUUCCAAUCGAACUUGGAGAUAGCUGGUUCUCUCCGAAAUAGCUUUAGGGCUAGCCUCGAGGUAAAGAGUCAUGGAGGUAGAGCACUGUUUGGACUAGGGGCCCUUCUCGGGUUACCGAAUUCAGAUAAACUCCGAAUGCCAUGUACUUAUACUCGGGAGUCAGACUGCGAGUGAUAAGAUCCGUAGUCGAAAGGGAAACAGCCCAGACCACCAGUUAAGGUCCCCAAAUAUAUGUUAAGUGGAAAAGGAUGUGGGGUUGCUUAGACAACCAGGAUGUUGGCUUAGAAGCAGCCACCAUUGAAAGAGUGCGUAAUAGCUCACUGGUCGAGUGACCCCGCGCCGAAAAUGUACCGGGGCUAAACAUAUUACCGAAACUGUGGAUGAACCUCUUUAGAGGUUCGUGGUAGGAGAGCGUUCUAAGGGCGGUGAAGUCAGACCGGAAGGACUGGUGGAGCGCUUAGAAGUGAGAAUGCCGGUAUGAGUAGCGAAAGAAGGGUGAGAAUCCCUUCCACCGAAUAUCUAAGGUUUCCUGAGGAAGGCUCGUCCGCUCAGGGUUAGUCGGGACCUAAGCCGAGGCCGAUAGGCGUAGGCGAUGGACAACAGGUAGAGAUUCCUGUACCAGUGCUAAUUGUUUAACCGAUGGGGUGACACAGAAGGAUAGGGAAUCGCACGAAUGGAAAUGUGCGUCCAAGCAGUGAGUGUGAGAAGUAGGCAAAUCCGCUUCUCGCGAAGCAUGAGCUGUGAUGGGGAAGGAAAUUAAGUACGGAAGUUCCUGAUUUCACGCUGUCAAGAAAAGCCUCUAGGAAGAGUAGUACUGCCCGUACCGCAAACCGACACAGGUAGAUGAGGAGAGAAUCCUAAGGUGAGCGAGAGAACUCUCGUUAAGGAACUCGGCAAAAUGACCCCGUAACUUCGGGAGAAGGGGUGCUCUAUUAGGGUGCAAGCCCGAGAGAGCCGCAGUGAAUAGGCCCAGGCGACUGUUUAGCAAAAACACAGGUCUCUGCAAAACCGUAAGGUGACGUAUAGGGGCUGACGCCUGCCCGGUGCUGGAAGGUUAAGAGGAGUGCUUAGCUUCGGCGAAGGUACGAAUUGAAGCCCCAGUAAACGGCGGCCGUAACUAUAACGGUCCUAAGGUAGCGAAAUUCCUUGUCGGGUAAGUUCCGACCCGCACGAAAGGCGCAACGAUCUGGGCACUGUCUCAACGAGAGACUCGGUGAAAUUAUAGUACCUGUGAAGAUGCAGGUUACCCGCGACAGGACGGAAAGACCCCGUGGAGCUUUACUGCAACCUGAUAUGGAAUGUUUGUACCGCUUGUACAGGAUAGGUAGGAGCCGAAGAGACGUGUGCGCUAGCAUACGAGGAGGCAAUGGUGGGAUACUACCCUGGCUGUAUGACCAUUCUAACCCGCCACGCUUAGCGCGUGGGGAGACAGUGUCAGGUGGGCAGUUUGACUGGGGCGGUCGCCUCCUAAAGAGUAACGGAGGCGCCCAAAGGUUCCCUCAGAAUGGAUGGAAAUCAUUCGCAGAGUGUAAAGGCACAAGGGAGCUUGACUGCGAGACUGACAAGUCGAGC